This 141-nucleotide small nuclear RNA is filed under the name Carlito syrichta (Philippine tarsier). RNAcentral describes it as "U4 spliceosomal RNA (ENSTSYG00000026310.1)". It matches the Rfam family "U4 spliceosomal RNA". Rfam says of the family: U4 small nuclear RNA (U4 snRNA) is a component of the major U2-dependent spliceosome. The structure of U4 snRNA from yeast and human has been reported. Lineage: Eukaryota; Metazoa; Chordata; Mammalia; Primates; Tarsiidae. The record is from Rfam by way of RNAcentral.
AACUUUGUGAAGUGGCAGUAUUGUAGCCAAUGAAGUUUAUCCAAGGUGCAGUUAUAGCUUUUUGAAAAUUUUCCCCAAUGCCCCUCCAUGACGACUUGAAAUAUAGUCAGCAUUAGCAAUUUUUGACAGUUUCUACAGAGA